UAGUACAGGCUUGAGGUUUUGGCAAGAGUGAAGAGAGCAGGAGAGUGUUGUGGUGGAGCGGGAGGAUGGAGAUGGAUGUGGAGGGGAGACAGGACAAAGAAGAGGAGGAGUGGACAGUCAGCCUAAAGAGUCAUAAACAGAAUUGAGCUGGAGCCGAUGCGAUCCCUGUGUCCGCCCUCAUGGGUGGAGUUCCUGGUGUUUCACCUGCGUUGGAUCCACGGCUAAUCAGCAGAAGGGACCAAUGUUGUCCUCCACUCUCCACCAGUUCAUAGAUGUUCCUGGUCACGACUUCCAAAACCCAUCCACUGCCACAGUUUCUGUCAAGCACUGGUUCUACCUGCAACACUCAGCAGUGACUCUACUUGGAAAACUCAACUGCUCACUUCACUAACUUUCCUGCCCUCCUGCCCGCCCGUGCACUUCUAGGACAUCCUCUGGAAUUUCAUGACAGACCACUGUGAUCCUUCGUGCUCCUCUCCCAAACACUCCUUUGCUUGAAAUUCUUUCAAAUGUAUAAAUAAAACAGCUCAGCUGGAUCCUGUUUCCACUGAUCAUCUGUCACACAUCUCUACAGUUUGACUGGAGGUAAAAUCAGUUGACUGGAUAUGAUUUGGAAAGACCUGUAGGUCUCAUAGUUAGGAGUGUAUGUCAGAGCACAAACCAAGCCAUGAAUUCUAAAGAAAUGUCAGACCUAAGAUGCAGGAGGGGUACAGAACAGGUACCUUCAUCAUCUGUAAAUGGUAGAAGCACCAGGAUUGUUUCUAGAGCUGGUUGCCCAGCCAAUCUGAGCAAUUGGGGUAGAAGAGCCCUAAUCAGUAGGUGAUCAAAAACCCAAGUGUUCACUCUCACAGGGCUCUUUGGAGUUGGGAGAAUCUUCCAGAAGGACAGCCAUUUCUGCAGCACUCCACCAAUCAGCAUUGUAUGGUAGAGUGGCCAAAUGGAAAUCACUGUU
Long non-coding RNA from Haplochromis burtoni (Burton's mouthbrooder), 952 nucleotides. RefSeq lists it as uncharacterized. The transcript is spliced from 3 exons. Lineage: Eukaryota; Metazoa; Chordata; Actinopteri; Cichliformes; Cichlidae. The record is from RefSeq and is a predicted model, not a curated record.